GGACGUAUGCGCAUAUUUGUCCGCCAACACACAAGAAGACAACGGUCAGGUUUAAGCAACAACUUUCUGCAGCUGACACAGUGACCUCAAGCAGCAACUACAACGAACAGUGUCACAAGCAAAGCAAUCUGGUUACUCAGCAACAACUUUCUGCAGCUGACACAGUGACCUCUCAAGCAGCAACUACAGCAAACAGUGUCACAACUACAGCAAACAGUGUCACAACUACAGCAAACAGUGUCAUAACGUUCUAAUAAGCAUGUCUUUUAAGAUGCACUGAAGAUUCCUGAAGCAUGUCAAAUGUGUUAUUUUUUUUCAGGGUGAAAUAUACUUUGUUGUUUUGCAAUGCAAACCCUG
This is a long non-coding RNA of Sphaeramia orbicularis (orbiculate cardinalfish), 357 nucleotides long. RefSeq lists it as uncharacterized. The transcript is spliced from 3 exons. The record is from RefSeq and is a predicted model, not a curated record. Lineage: Eukaryota; Metazoa; Chordata; Actinopteri; Kurtiformes; Apogonidae.